GAUGAACGCUGGCGGCGUGCUUAACACAUGCAAGUCGAACGAAGCACUUAUGAUUGAGAUUUCGGUUGAUUUCAUAAGUGACUUAGUGGCGGACGGGUGAGUAACGCGUGGGUAACCUGCCUCGUACAGGGGGAUAACAGUUAGAAAUGACUGCUAAUACCGCAUAACCCGCUAGGGUCGCAUGACCCGGACGGAAAAGAUUUAUCGGUACGAGAUGGACCCGCGUCUGAUUAGCUAGUUGGUGGGGUAAUGGCUCACCAAGGCGACGAUACAUAGGGGGACUGAGAGGUUAACCCCCCACAUUGGUACUGAGACACGGACCAAACUCCUACGGGAGGCAGCAGUGGGGAAUAUUGCACAAUGGGGGAAACCCUGAUGCAGCGACGCCGCGUGAGUGAAGAAGUAUUUCGGUAUGUAAAGCUCUAUCAGCAGGGAAGAAAAUGACGGUACCUGACUAAGAAGCCCCGGCUAACUACGUG
RNAcentral lists this ribosomal RNA (479 nucleotides) under uncultured bacterium. RNAcentral's name for it is "bacterial SSU rRNA". It matches the Rfam family "Bacterial small subunit ribosomal RNA", at positions 28 to 507 of the family's 1533-position model. The record is from RNAcentral.